Long non-coding RNA from Bombus huntii, 14328 nucleotides. RefSeq lists it as uncharacterized. Lineage: Eukaryota; Metazoa; Arthropoda; Insecta; Hymenoptera; Apidae. The transcript is spliced from 2 exons. The record is from RefSeq and is a predicted model, not a curated record.
UACACCAGGUUUCUAUAUUCUGUUUUAUGUAAAUUUCAUUGUCGUAGUAUCCAAAUUUUGUAAUAAUAUGAAAAUGAUACGCUAAGUGAUACGAAAUUUAGUAUACGUGGACUUAAUUAAUUAGUUUGCAAAUGCUGUGAUAUAUACAAUGAUUUGCAAAUAGUUCUCGUAGUCACUGUAUUCUCAGAUUAAUGACCAGUGGCACAGAGCGAUUUAAAUUAUAUUUCAGUUGAACCACGUGAUUUUAAUUUUUACUUAAAUUUCAUAUCUUAUAUCGUAGAUACAUAGAAUUAUAUCUAAAAUUAUGAAAGAUUAAAAGUCAAGCGAAUCACCUAUGAUCUACGAUCUAAUGAUUAAUAAUCGAGGAUUAAUGUCUCUUUUAAUUAGAAAAUAGUAAGCUUCUAAGCUAUUAUUAGCGAAACGUUGAAUUCUUAAAAAUAGAUAUCUUCGACUGGAGAAAAAUAACGCUACUACCGAAUAUCUGUCAGAUUUGUGACACUUCGGUCUAGAUCGCUCCAUUUACACGUGAAAACUUCAUUUGAAUAAUAUAGCGAGGGGUAUUUUUGUUUGAGCAAUGAAAGUUCUAUUUCUGCUGAUUAUUACGAGCCAUCGUUGACCCACGAGGAAAGAAACGUAUUUUCGAAAUUGUUCGCGGAAGGUAAAUUCGACGACGAAACCUGUACAAAAAUUUGUUCGUUACGCAAAUGUGGACGAUGUGGCAGUGAACAAGUUAACUGAAUUUUCUACACUUAAAAAUCUCUAUCGACGGUAGCGAUAGAAAUACCGAAAGACAUUAGGUGGAAAUUUGGAAUAUUUGUAAUUACAUACCGAUAGAUAUUUAGUAAAUUUUGGUGUUGAACAUUUCUGAUGAUCAAACAUGGAUGAAUUCGAUGAAAUUUACAGAUAUUUGAUGGCGUAUGUAAUGAUUUUUGUAUUUUGUUCGACCGAAGUUCGUCAAGAUUUCCAGAGAAUUAUUUUUCCGGAUAACAUUAUCGUUUUUUAAGUCGAUAUUCAUUCGGAAUUCUAUUUCAAACAUGAAUCAUAUAGCGAAGCUUAGCUGACUGUAAAUUUCCUAGUUAUUCUAAAAGCCGUGAUUUCUUAAGUUAUAGUUCUUUUCAAUCGAGCCCAUUAAAAAAAAAAAAGAAUGAACUCUUUUUUACGCGUAACUUUCUCAAGAGUCUAAUAUUAUGUAACGAGUACCAAAGAGUUUCCUUCGCCGUCGUUAAAACUUUAUUUGUUCCUGUCACUUAUACGAAGUCAUUCGUUAAGCGUGGCCAUAAAUUGUCACGAAUGCGUAUGCGGUGUAAGAAAAUCGUUAGCGCGUAGAAAGAAUAAUUUGCACUUAAGGAGACGUAAGAGUAAAAAGUACAGAUAGCAGUUGAGAAUUUAGAUGAAAUUGCCGGUAGGUUUGCACAUCUGACCGUGCAACUUUUACGUGGAACAAUUGUUGGAAUGACGUACGCAAAGUAGGGAAGGGUAAUUGUCCUGUGCAUGCGGAACGCAAAGAAAGGGAGGACAUUGUAAGCGCAAGGGGAAACGGAUCGCCUGUGAUCAGACGUAUUUUACGAUACCACGGACAUUACAUUUUCCCAUAAAUUUAGAUAGCUGUUUCAAAAAUUAAAGAGCGCAAGUUCUAGAAUACAAAUUUACUUGCUGUUCGAUGUAAAAUUCAUGACCGUAUAUUUUCGUUUCUUUUUGCGUGAAACAGCCAUAAAAUCUUCUUUUUCCACAUGAAAAUUUCAUCACACGAUAUCUCUUUAAUUUAAACGUAUGAUUAUUUAGAUUUGUAUAGCUACUUUUUAGAUCUCUUGAUAACAUAGGCACGUUGUUAGUGUAUGUACAUGUCCUGCGUAUAAUUUUGUGUAAAUUUGGGAGCAGAGAUGCGUUGAAUAUUAUCUUUUGGUUACCUCAUUGCGGAACGUUCGGUACUCUUGUUCAAUGGAAUUAUGUAUUUUUGUCCUGCUAUUAAUUACUGAUUAAUUAUAUCGAUAUAAUUUUAGCAAUUGCAAACAGAUAAACAUGCUGACGAGCAUGAACGUAGUUUUGCAAAUUAAUUCAAUAAUUUCUACGUCAUAAAUUGGAAACGGUAAUUAGAUUGGAUAUCUGUUAUUAUUUAUUGAAUCAUUCAGUAAGUAAUCGAUCAAAACGCCGUUUAUAUGCAUGCAUGUUAAAAUAUCUGAUAAACGUGAUAAAAACUGCUUGAUGGUAUUAAUAACUGUCGAGUAACUCCAUUAACGGUCUCGAGGAAAAUUAGCGCGUACGAAACAUAUUUUCCAAAUAAAUCUCUAAUCGGAGAUAGUUUCUUCGAAAUAUCAUACAUUUGGUCCAUGUAACUUUUAAACGUUCGAAUACUUUUAUCCAAACAUUAACCAGUUCGUUGUUCCAGAUAUAUAACGAUUAUCUAUCCAACAAUUUUUGCAAUUAAUACAAUAUAGUUAUACGCGUGUAAUCGAUCACGAUCCGUCAGAUUCGAACUUUAGAAAAUCUACAUUUCAUACGCAUUAACCCGAUACCAAAUCAAUUGCAAAGAUUCUACAUAUUAAAAAACAGUCUGUUUGUCGACCAAGAGUACUCAGCUUCUCGAGCGUUAUGCAUUUCCAACAUCCUAUCGCGCGAAGAAUUAUACCUCGUUAAUUGCGAUUCUCCGAAUGAAAGAAAGAAAGAUAGCGGAAACUUCCAUAUGUACUUCUACGCACGCACACAUACACACAAACACACACAAACGUCCACGUAAAAAGAAAAAAAAAAACAGAAACGACCGAUCGUUUUCCACGUUUUCCCUAAGAGGGCCACUCUCUCGUUCGUUUAUCGCGGCGCGUUUCAUUUUCACGCGUUGGUGAUUCUCGACGACGCGACGCGACGUAUCGUCUCCUCGACUCAAUUACCAAUUUACGGAGAGCGAUCGCGGGCCACGAUUCCGUAUAAUCAUCGUGGCCAUUGGAGCAGGGACGAGCACGAGGUGAAGCCAGGUGAAAGAGAAGACUAAUCUGUUCGGUAUCGAAGAGCCGUUAAUUGUAUCGCGAGGAGAAAACGAUCUUUUAAUCCGUGUUCGAACCCUGAUCGCUGACGCUGAACGAUUUCAAGGAUCUGGCUGUCGCUAACUGCUGGCGUAAUUCGAACGCCAUCUUUGUCGUCGUCGACGUCGUCCUAUUUACACGCACGCACAGGGCGCCAGUUUUCCCUUGAUGGGUGCACGGACACGUUCGAGGUCGCAAUUACGCCGCGAAACCCGGAACAACGAUCGCCCAGUAAAGUGCAAUCGAGAAGAGAAUUAAUGAACGCCGCGCACCGCUGACGUAGAGUACAAUCAAUUAGUAAAGUUCCAAUUAACGUAGGUUUUAGGUCAUCCCGAUGGUUGCCGCGUGCACCGAAUCGACUGAUCGCGGCCUCGACUUCCGCACUCUCGCGACCAUUAAGAUCCCAUCGCGUGAACAGCUUUCUCAAUUUUAUCGGACCAAGUCUGUCAAAGAAUUCGUCCAGAAUUUUCCUCUGGAUUAUUAUUUGCUUUGUUUAUUCUUUUCUUUUUUUUUUUCUUUUUCUUGCUAAUCGAUCCAUUUGACGUUCUCGUCUCCUCAAUCGGAAGAUCUUCUGUGUUUGGUUUAGAGAGCGCAAUUUCCUGUAUUUGGUUCGAUAGGUACGAAUUUUCGGGGAGGUACUCGUAUUUGUCUGUCACCAGUAGCUAAUACGUCGUAUCUAGUAUCGUUUCAUUUUUCAAAAUAUCGCGCAUGCACUUCGUAAGAGACACACGACUCAAACUUUCAGGAAAAGCGAACAAUUGUUUGGAAACAUAGAAACCAAUUACUUUCUAAACGCAUAAUAUUGACGCGGGGAACAGACUCUACGAAGUGAUGGACAAAUAUUAUCUUCGUAAUCUUUCAUUCUUAGCCCUUGAUAUUCUAGUUGGACGAUUUUUACGCUCUUCUAACGCGGAAUUGAAUUAUUUUGAGUUGUAACAACUUUUGAAAUACAUUUGCACAUGUUGAAAUAUUUGAAGUUCUUCGUGUUUUUUUUUUUUUUUUUUUUUUUUUUAAUGAUAGAACUUCGGUUUUCUUCUGUUUCGACGUCGUAGAUAGGACAUUUAAACUGAAAAAGGGUAGUUAUAUUUAUUCGAAAAGAUUUGGAGGCUCGACAGUAGGUUUCUAAAUAUUUUCUUGUUAAUCGUCGAGAAGAUUCGAUGGAAAUAAUUAUACUUAAAACUAUAGGCAUUGGUUCUAUACAUUUGGACUAAUUAAUGAUUCGAUUUAAGGAUAGUGGAAAAUAAGCGCGCAAGUAUAGAAGCUCUGAGGAACAAACAACGACAGAAAGAAUCUUAAAAGUCGUUUUAAUCGAGUGAAUAGGAAAGAAAUAACUACGCAAAUUUGAAAUCUUUCUCUUCGCUUCGUUCCUAAUUUGUUGUUUCUACUAUUUGAAAGUGAGAAAUUAAAACGAAUUAUUAUAGUACAAAAAUUAUUUAGAUUUACGUAAAACUAGGAUGAUUUUUUCUAGAGAUAAUCGUUUUCUUAAACCAAGUAUAUAUAACCUCUACCAAUUUGUUUAGCGUAUUUAGAGGUUAAUUAGAGAACUUUUUUCUUCGAUUACGAAUAUUUUAGAAGUUAAAUCGUUGAAAUAUCGACAAGGAAGCUUUUCAAGCUCUAUAAUUUAUACUUCAAAAAAUGUGCAAUAUAAUUUGAUAAAUUAUUCGAGCAAUUUAUCGAACGUUGUUAAAAAUCUAGAAAUUUUUACGAAACUCACCCGUCGUCGGUUAUAGUUUUCCUUAUUUUCCACGUACGUAUCUCUAUAUUUCCCUUCAAUAACUAUGUUAUCUACGUUUAAUUUUCGUUUGUUUCGUCGAGGGGCAUUUAUUAUUCUGAAAAUCGAAUAUUUCUACUUGUAUUUCCUAUUACUCUUUUAUUUAAACAAUAAUUUAUUAUGUUAUUAUCCGAGCAUUUUUGACACGAACGUCCACGUUUUCGCCGAGACGCAACGCCACCCCUUUCAACCUCUUUGUCUUCGAGACUCGCGAAACGGAAUAGAAGCGAUAUGCGGUACGAGAACGAAUUCUAACCGCGAACCUCGCGAAGACCAUUCGAUUUUCGAUCUCAUCUUCGUCAUCGUCGUGAAAACUGCACGUGCCUCGAAUUCUAUCGUACACCGGUCCCUCUAUAUGUAUAUACGAUAAUAGAAAAUGAACGUAAGCGAUAUAAGUAUUUCGCCUAGAUACUUAGAUCCUCUUGUUAAUGUUUAGUUUAAUAAUCGUUCGCCAAAAAUACUGAAAAGGUGAAAAAAAGAAAAGAAAAAAAAAAAAAGAAAAAAGAAAGAAAGAAGAAAGGAAACGCAACUCUGAUCGAUGCUGUAUAUUAUAGGUUAUAUCAUAUCAUAGAUAGACUAUGGAUGUUUGUGCAAAACGAUAUUUUUAUAAAUACGACGAAAAAAAAAGGUAGGAUCUAUAUAAUGUUUCGUUUCGCUUAUCGAAUAUCCUAACGAAUAUCUUACUUCGAAUAUUUCAUAUAUUUCUGCGUAUUACGUCUUAUUUUACUUAAAUUUUCUAUAAACGCAUAAAUAUCCGUAUUCUAUUAUACUUGCGUAUAAGUUAUGUUGCAUCUUGGGGAACGAAUUCUCUAGAUAGGCGACGAAGCACGUUGCUUUUAUUAUUAUUACGUUUAUUUUAUUAUUACUUUGUUUGAUUAUCCUUACAUAGAAACCUUGAAGAAGGGUUGAUUAUUAUUUUUGCGAAUGGAAGUAAGAAAUUUUUCGUUGUGGUUCUUUAAGAUGCAAGACUGGACACUUAAAGAAGAGGGGAAAGCUUCGAUUCGGCUCCUAAAGAUCUUGGAAUCCCUUAGCUCUUAGUUCGGCGAAGUAGCUCUCGAGUUUCUGUUUUGAAGUUCCUAAAGACUCGUUCUAACUCAAUUGUAUAUAAUAUAUAGGCGAUAGAUCGUACUUAAUAGCGUAACUAAAUGUAAACGUCCUAUCGUUUGUAGAUAGCGCGUAAGUGAACGUUCGAGAUGUCCAAAAUCCGACGCGGAGCCUGAAACGUUGCUGUUUAACAUUUGUCUAGGCGCGUUUCGUUCUUCUUCGUUUUAUCUUACUUUAACUCUUCCCCUCGCACAUGGCCUUCAUCGAUGAUAUUAUAAACGUAUAAUUUUUGACAAAUAUUCUCACACCUAGCCAAUACCUUUGCACCUACAUAACGAGUCCUGUCCGUCGAUGUACUUAAGAUCAUCGAUAUUAAAUUUCGAAUCUAUCGAUGUUUAUUUUUGAUAUUAAAGUUCCCUUGCUUUCGUCAUAAUAUCGAUUAAUUGGAUUUUAAUAUUGACGAUUGAAAGUUCGUCUUUAUAGGAUCGAAUUGGUUUUUGUGUGAUUCACUUUUUUCUACCAUUUUUAUUGCGUUUUAGUUAAAGGAAUUUGACUAAAACUACUGACGAUUUAUUCCUGACGUUUGAACAUUUUAUCAGAAUAAUGGCGAACGAUCUUUUAACUUUUUUUAAAUACUUCUUAACAGCCAACGAUCCUCGAAAUGGCGAAAAUAUAAACAAUCGAAAAGUUAGAAGAUCUAUUUGCCAAAUUAAUCGCUAUCGAAUCGAACAUGUUAAAACAUUUUAUAGAUCUGCAAAGAACCUGUGUUUAAAAAUUGAUCGUGUACUAUUCUCUUGAUGUAUUUAAUAUCAAACAACCCUUCGAACGGUGAUGAGAACAUAAAUCACGAAGAAAAUGUAACAUCUCCCAAGUUGAUCAUUUCUUGGCUCAAUGUAUGGAAAGGCGAAGAGUAGAUCUUCGACGACGGCUUAUUCAUAAUUUUUCAAACUCUCGUUCCACGAUCUUUUCUGUAAAAUAAAAAGAUGUGCGAGGGGGGACACGAACCCUUUCCGUCCACGAACGUUGUGACACAUUAUUAAGUUAAGUUUACCUCGCGUAACACUGAUCAGUACGUUUGGCGAAGAUUCUUCACUUGUACUUUCGUAGCGUUUUCUAGCGUAGAAAUUGUAUUAGGAUCGAUUUGUAAAUAGAAGGUAACGCCGUAGCAUAUCUCGCCCGUAUCUCUUGCCAGGGGGUGUCACGUUGGAAUACACACAUACACAUAUCCGAUUAGAUUUAAUUCCUAAUUAGAGUUCCUGUUGAAGGCAGCUUACCGUUUGUUAACGGGGUGGACUCUCUAUUCUCUAUAUUCUUCCCUUUUUUUUCUUUUUUUUUUUUGCGAACGCGCGUUAAAACGAUCGUAGCCAGCGGAAAUCGACUUUGCUGGACGCUUACCAAUCGAAUCUCGUCCGGUUCGUUUCGUUUCGACUGGUCGGUGAUCGUCCUUUUCAAUGGAUUAACCAUUUCAACAGUCGAUCUGAUAAGGGAGAAGUUACGAAUUCUCUUGAAAAACCGUUGAAAAAAUUGUUUCGUUGGUGUUUGUUAGAAAUAUGAUUAUCGAGAGAGUUUGCCGAUUUGCUGAUUUCUAUAUAUUAGUAAUGUAAUUGCGGAGAAUGUUACGCGUUAGAGAAUUAUCGAGAGAAAUCGGUGGUUAUUAUCUUUACUAGAUUUAUCAGGUAUAUAAUACGUAUAUCGGAUGUAAAAUCGGAUAUUUAAUGGAAAAAUUAAUCGAGAGAAGAAUCGGUUUAAUUGCCGUGCCGCUUUUAGUCGUAUAUUAAACAGGCAAUCGACGAACGUGCAAAGAUGAGAAUAUCGGAGGGUCGUGUAGGCGACCACCGUAAUUCUAUCAUUUCUCGUGCUGAUUUCCCUUAAUUAUCAUUUAGCGGAUGGUAUUGACAGUAUUAAAAGAGUUACAAAGAGUUUUAGAUAUCCGUGUCGUGGUUGUUCCGACAAGAUACAUACGAGAAACACAAAUUACAUUGAACAUACGGAAAACGGAAAACACAUAAUAUAUACAUAUAUAUAUAUAUACAUAUAAGAAAUAUAUAAAAUACACACAUACUUAUUAUACACGAUAUAAUAGUACGCGUAUACUAAACGAAGGAAAGCUAUAAUAAUACAAUAUAUAUAUAUAUAUAUUUAUAGACGUAUGUACACGGAUUAACUACGAAAGAUACAACACGAGGACGCGUAAUUGGCAAGCACUUUUUACGAAGUACAAGACGUUAAUAGGAUUUUAUUAGUACCGACCGGAUGUGACGCGCGUGUUCCAGUGUGUGGGUGGGCCAGGAUACGUGGAUACGACGUGUAUGAAGUGCGUGUGUGUCCGUAUGUGCGUAGGUGUGUGCGUGGAAAAUAACGUAACGAAGAAAACGUCGAAAAAAAAGAGAAAAGAGAGGAUUUUUGCGCGGAACGAUCCUGCGUGUAUACUUGAUGAGAAAGAUUGAUUUAAUUAUAGGGUUAGGGGAGAGACAGGAGUGAGAACAAGGGCGUUGCAUGUACGAUAAUAAUUAUUUAGGUACCUAUUCUAGACGUGUAUACGUAUAUAUCUAUAUAUCAAUAUACACAUAAAUAUACGUAUGUAUGUGUGUGUGUGUAUAUAUAUGAAUAUAUAUACGUACAAUACACAGGCAUACAUGCGAAACCUAUAAAACGAUUAACGCGAUUAAUUAAUGUUUUUUUCCGGACUAAAGUUCCUUGGGGGUAACGCGUUUGGUACGUGUCUCGAACCGAAGCCACCCCGAUGUGAUGACGGUGCUUUGUUUCUCUUUUAAUUAGAACUAUAUUAUUGAUUUUUCAUCAUCCUUAAGCGGUAUAGUUAUGUUACUUAGAAUUUAUUUUGUUAUUUUAACAAUAUUAUUAUUAUUAUAUUAUUAUUACUAUUAAUUAUUAUUAUUAUUAUUACUAUUAUUAUUAUUAUUAUUAGUUAUUAUUAUUAGUUAUUAUUAUUAUUAUUAUUAUUAGUUAUUAUUAUUAGUUAUUAUUAUUAUUAGUUAUUAUUAUUAUUAUUAUUAUUAUUAUUAUUAUUAUUAUUAUUAUUAUUAUUAUUAUUAUUAUUAUUAUUAUUAUUAUUAUUAUUAUUAUUAUUAUUAUUAUUAUUAUUAUUAUUAUUAUUAUUAUUAUUAUUAUUUACGAUAUACUAUUACGUUUACUUAUACAUACGUUAUUAAAAUAUACGAAUGCCUAUUUUCAAACACGACAUAUCUUUGUUCGUUGUGUACAUUUAAAUCGUCAUUUAUUUUCUCUUAUUUCGAACCUUGCCAUUCCUCUUUCCUACCGUUCCUUGUCGUUUCUAGAAUUAAUUACACGUUAAUUAAUUUAGUACGGAUCAAUUUAAUAAUAACUAUAGAUUUAUUCGAAUGUUCGUUUCUGUUAACGCCGCGAUUCUCGUCUGAUCGUCGAAGUCAAGCUGCGUUGGGCACAAUUAAACAGUAGUUAAUGUCUCAUAUUUUUAAUAGGCUGGCUUAGAAAACUACGCGUGGUGCUAACGUCGAUCAUUCGAAGCUUAAUUUAGACCGGUAUAUCUUGGUUAGAUAAAAAUCGUACGUCGAUAUUAUACUGCUGGUUAACCUAAUACUAGGAAUGAUUAAUUAUAUUCGAAUCUUAAAAUGUUAUGCAAAAUAUAGAAGCUGUUAGUUUUGCAUUCAGCCACGCAGUGCUAUUAAUCGAAGAGCAGAUUGAAAAAAAUGCAUCGUUUGCAUCGUUCUAUUAUAAUUUCAUUCGUGUUUGGUUCUUCCCUCUAUUUUGCGCGUAAUAUCCCUAAGUUUAAAAAUAAAAUUAGUUGAAACUGCUUUCUGUUUAAUUAUAAAACAUUAGCGUAUUUUUAAAAGUAGUACAAUAACGAAGAAAUCAGAGAUGCGUUUCAAGGUAUUUAUUUGUCGAGCGUCUUACUUAGAAAGAGACGAUGAGAAAGAAUCUAUUUCUGUCAGAUUGGUAAGGUAGGCUGCUUCCGUUUAAAAAAGAAAAUCUUGAACACAGUUAAACGCCUUAUUACGUUUAAACUUAUCCAAUUUCAGUUUAUUACUAUCUUUUAUUUGCGAUCGAAACAAUAUAUGACUUGUCUUUACGCUCCAUCGUCUAUAAAUCGUUCGUGUGAAUAGUACAUCAACUAUAACCGGAUAGUUGAUCGUUCGGAUUAGUUCUGCGUAUCGUUCCGAUAAAUCUUGUUUAACACAAGUAUUACAAUUCGUUUGACGGACGUAAUAGCGUAGUUGGCGAUUGAUACAUCGCGUGAGAUAUCGCGGGAAUCAAUACGAUGAACAGAAGAAGCAAAAAGGAAUAAGCUGCAGAACUGAAAAAAGCAAUAAAUCGUCACGAAACAAACAUUAGAAAAGUCGAAUGGAUACUUUCCAAACGACAAACUCACAUUUGAAAGAUAUUCGUGAAGCUAUUUGAACACUUAUUAUAGAAAAUUUGUAGAACAAUAUCGUAUCUGUCGUAUGAAACUUUUUGAAAUUUCAUUAUUUUCUAUAUUUGUCUGGAAAUACGCAGUUAGAAAAAAAAGAACGAUAUACAGUAUGAUUAACGAAUGUCUCAAACGUAUAAUUAACGAUAAAAAUGGUCUCACAAAUAUAUAUUUUCUGAACCGUUUGAAAUUUCGAUAAGAGUUUAUUUCCACUUACACGAUUUAAUGAAAAAUUACGUCAACAAGAAAAAAACAGAAUAGUUUAAAAGGUAGUUGCAACUUGUUUCUUACAAAUUUCUAACGAAUAGAUCGCGGGUUUUUACGCACUUAUGUAAAAAGCAGAGAAUUCGCACGACGUGCAAAGAUAUAUAGAAUAUCCAAACAAGAGUAUUUCUUGUAUCUGAAUUUCUGUAUCUGAAUUCUACUUAUUUAAUCAUGCUCAUAAACACAUAAAUUCGCAUAAAAAUUUGCAAUUUAAUAACGAAUAACCGGAAUAAUCGACCGUACAGACACUCCCCGAUACUCGCAUCUUAUCAGAAUUUACAAUUUCAAAAUGUUUCGUGUAAUACACGUAAUAUAUUCACAAAAAGUUUCUAUAAGUGUUUAAAUAUUUUCCUGAACCACUGCACACGUACCGCGCUGUAUUAUACUAAGGUUUAAAGGCCACUCGAGAUCAUAAAUUUCUAAACGAAAGAAAUUUUUUCAUUUUCAUUUAUCGAUGAAGAAGACAAAAAUAGAGAAAAGGAUGAAACGAAAACUAUUUAUUCGAAUUGGAGGAUCAUUACGAUGUCAUUCGUACUGAACUACUGUACUUUUUGCGUUUAGAUCGCUCGUUCCAUCUACUCGAUGAAUUCUUAAUUAGCAAACUGGUGCGUAGCUUGACAGGUCAAAUUGCAGAUACGACGAACGAUGGACUUCUUUUUACCUCAUCAAUGAAUCCACGUACAUUUUCCUUUUGGUAAUGGAAACUAUCUGCUCAAUUACGAUCUCCUUUCUUCCCCUCUUUUUAGAGUCGAUAAUAACGUUCUUUGAAAUCGUUUCGUCGUUUGUUCAGUGGUAAAUGUUUGAAGGCGUAAAUAAAUGAGAUUGGCAAGCGAUACGACAAUAUUCCAAAUUUUGUAUCUGUAUUUUAAGUAUAUUUGACUAUAUUUAACUAUUUCUUUCCGACUACAAUUCUUGAUUAUAUAUUUGUGUGAUUUGUGCGACGAUUUGGAAAGAACAAUUAACUUAACUUAUUUAUUUAUUAACUUAUUAAUGCAAGGAGCAUAGUCUGUAUUAAUUUUAAGUUACUUCGAAGUUAAAUUAAGUUUCAAUUGAAGAAAAUUACAUUUAUCUCAAGCUAAUUCGUGGUAAUUUCAAGUAUUAGUACGUAACAAUUCUGGAAUCGAAAAAGCUCGUCGUCGACUUUCUCUUUCGGAAAAGUUCAAUUUCAACAACUUUUACUCUCCAAAAUAAAUAUUCAUAAAAAAAAAUAGCCUCAUCUACGACAAAUUAAGCUGCGUGUAUAAUUUUUUGACUUAAUUGAAUUCUUUAUGCGUGUUACGUCAGUUUCCGCAAAGAAGAAACAAGAAACAGAGAAGAAAUAAAAUAUUAAAUCACGCACAGUCAUUUUCCUUUCAGUAUUACGACACCACUAUCGUCAUUAAUUAUUAAUUUUCCGACAGACGCACAGCCUAGUACUGUGAGAGAAUUUGAUUUUUAUUUGCAACGAAGUCGAGCAACGUUCGACGUAUUACAGAUUUUCAGCGUAUUCUAGAUACACAACUCGAGAACAACACUAUUCGCAUUUAACACUAGAACUAUCGAUCUUUAACAAAUAUUUAAACACGUUCAACAUGACUGAUCUUUGUCUCGAUGAAAGUAAACGUUAAUAUUAUAAAAAAUGUCUUGGUUUUAGUAAUUGGAAAAUCCGAAAAUUUGUUAUCUACCAUUUUCACCGAUUUAAUAGAUCCAGUGUUAAGUUGGCUCGUGGAAAAUUUGUGAAUAUAUUACAAAGAUGUGGUUGACUGCCACUGACACGCAUUGCCGAUUACUCGUCUCGCGAAUGGCGCAUAUAGAAAUAUUGCGGAUAUGGCGAAUUAUUUUUUUCCACUAGCGACCGCGAAUUUUUAUGUUGAACUUCGCGACACUCGCUUUCCACGACUUUCAUGUUUCCUCCGCCAUAUCGGUAACCCAGGGCCCGAUAAAUGUUAUCCGGCGCGAUUCUACGCUCGUUCAAUUUCUUAGCUCUGCAUCAAAUAGGAUAUUAUUAGCCGUUUUAGGAUCGAAUUUUUCCUAGUUCGAACGCAUAUUUGGAAAAUUAUUCUAAACUUGUAUAUUAUUAAUUCUCUGCAUAAACUUUUUUUUAAUCUGAGAGAAAAAUUGUUUUACGAAGUGUGAAAGAAAGAUGAAAACAAGACUUGUAGUGUACAGGAUAAAACAAAUUUUUAUCUCUCAUUGAUUUAAGAUCAACUGUUUUAUGGUUACGAUAUUAUUAUAUCGUUAAUUGAGAAAGGAAAUCCGCAAGGCAUCGUUGAAUUUUAAUAUUUCUGCAUCGGAUAUUUCUAAUUUUGUUAUCUCGUUUGCAAGUGAAGUAAUUUUAAAUUGACGUUCCUUUCACGGAUAUUAGCAGUUCUUUAAGAGGAAAAUAAAAUUUUAUUGUGUAGUAAAUAUAGAAAUCGUGAAUAAUGAAUAUCAAUUUAACUAUCGAAGGAAAAUACAAACGAGUAUCUUCAGUUGGUCAGAAGGUCUGGAAUAAUCUCAAUUUAAAUCAAUUCAAAAUAGCAUAAAAUUUUCUGUUUCCUGUAGUGUCACAAAAAUAGUUUGAAAACUCACGCUGCAGUGUGUAACUAUCAUAAGGACACAUCAAUCAUGUGAAAUUUAUUCAUUUUACUACAAUACGAAAAAGAAAAAUACGCGUUUACUACGUACACGUUAUACACGUUUUCUCGAAGAAACCUCUACUUUUAACAAGCAUCAUAAACUGUCAAUGUUCCAUAGGAUACCAAUUCAUAAAUUAAUUUCUCAUCUUAUAGAAUUUCUUAACUAAUAAAAAAUUACUUCAACGACUUAGUUAUUCCCAUAAUAUCGUAUAACUCGAUAUAGUUUACUAACGUAAAAGCCAGUGACUCAAGCUACUUAUUAAUAAUUGACCUUUCCAAAAAAUCAAUUUUCGAGAAGGCGAUCAGAGAAUAUACUUUUAAACGUUCCAUGUCGACGACAUCGUAGGAAAAAAUUCCACCAUUAGCUUCUGUUUCUCGAACGACCAUCAAAUAUCGAAUCUCAAAAUCACAGCUCCAUUUCGAGAAGCAACGAUCCUUUUGAAAAAACAAAAAGACGCGCGAAGAAUGAUUUUCUCGUGCUCGUCUGCGAAAUGCACGAGUGUUUGUCGAUCGGUUUGGAACUCCGGGAAACUCGGACGUUUUUCUUUUCUCGCUUUUCUCGGACUCGAUUAAUCGUCGAACGCGGCGUAACGUGACUAGAGGCAGAAAGAGAGACGGAAUAAAAGGAAAGAGGGAGAAAGAGGAAGGAAAAAAGAAAACACUUUGACGAUUGCCGGCGCACUCGACCGACUGUAACAUAAAGUAGGCUUUAAUGAUUAACGGGAAAAACGAGUGGAAGAAGAAAAAAAAAAGACACAUGCGAUCAUACGUAUACACGCGUCUGUAGAAGACGCGCGUGCAAGCGCAAGUGUACACGUUCGUACGUGUACGUGUACACGCGCAUACACACACACACACACACACACACAACAAACAUACACGCGCGCGCGCGCGAAUAACACGUACACGAGGAGACAGGCAGGAAAUAAGUGGCAUAAGCAUACUUACGUAUAGUACAUUAUUGCAAACGCAUAAGCGAAGCAUAUAGAGUUACGAUUACACACGUAGAGGCGUGUUUAGAGGAUACACCGAGGCCAUUGGAAAAUUCGUGCACGCGUGCACAAGGCCACGCGUUUCGCGGGAUCGCGAUCGCGAUCGUUUUGUGUGACCGAAAUGACGAUGCACGAUAUUUUUACGAUGUAAGCUAUGGUGAGCUUUGGAAUACAUCGUUUUGUUGUCUUUUGAGAUUUCAGUGCGUUGUGAAAUGUUAAUAAAAAUGAGUUUAUAAGA